Mycena leptocephala is the source of this 97-nucleotide non-coding RNA. The record is from the annotation of a GenBank genome assembly. NCBI's taxonomy places the organism in Eukaryota, Fungi, Basidiomycota, Agaricomycetes, Agaricales, Mycenaceae.
GGCUCGGUGGCGGAUGGUCCGCACCUGCAACGAUUGUGGAUGUACAUAUUCUUGCGAAGUUGAGCAGGGAUCUCUCGUUCGAUUCGAGGCUGAGCCA